UACGCGGAUGCUGAGGCGGCCAUCAGUUGCAGCGCAGGCGAGGAUUUCGAGUCGCUUUGAUGGGAGGCAAGUUGAUGUUGCUGCUGCUGCUGCUGCUGUUGCUGCUGCUGCUGCUGAUGUUGCUGCUGUUGCUGCUGCUGCUGCUGUUGUUGCUGCAACAGAU
This 163-nucleotide small RNA is filed under the name Drosophila guanche. The record is from RNAcentral. Lineage: Eukaryota; Metazoa; Arthropoda; Insecta; Diptera; Drosophilidae.